AACGUAGGACGCAAGCGUUAUCCGGAGUUACUGGGCGUAAAGCGUGCGCAGGCGGUGAUGUAAGACAGAUGUGAAAUCCCCGGGCUCAACCUGGGAACUGCAUUUGUGACUGCAUCGCUGGAGUGCGGCAGAGGGGGAUGGAAUUCCGCGUGUAGCAGUGAAAUGCGUAGAUAUGCGGAGGAACACCGAUGGCGAAGGCAAUCCCCUGGGCCUGCACUGACGCUCAUGCACGAAAGCGUGGGGAGCAAACAGG
This 253-nucleotide ribosomal RNA is filed under the name uncultured bacterium. RNAcentral's name for it is "partial 16S ribosomal RNA". It matches the Rfam family "Bacterial small subunit ribosomal RNA", at positions 524 to 776 of the family's 1533-position model. The record is from RNAcentral.